ACUCACUCAGGUGCAGCUUUCAAAGACAGCUAUGAGGGGGAAUUCUCUCAGUGUGCAGGGCUUCACGCACUACACUUGGUCAUCAAAUUCAUGUUGAAAGAGAUGCAGCCUCAGCCUCAGUUUGGAAUAUACACAGACGGGUAGGUGCUGAAGGGCACAGACAGAUCAUCAGAGGCCUAGUGGGAGAGAAAUUAGGAGAUCAUAGACAAGGAUAUCUGGAGUAGUGUUGUGUAGAUGACACUAUGGGAGAAGACACAAUGUGGGAAGAUCUUUCAGUUGCAGGUUAACACCUACCAGAAAUCAUCUAUUUUGGAAGAGGCACUAGACAGCCAAGUAGAUGGACUGACUCAGCCACUUGAUGCCAGCCAGUUUCUGUCAUUGGCCAUUCCAGUGCUGCUGAAAUGAACACAUGAAAAGAGUAGCUUUAGUGUCAGAGAUGUUAGGUUAUGCUCGGGCCCAACAGCAUGGGCUCCCAUUCAUCAAAGCUGGUCUAGCUCCAGGUGCUGCCGAACAGCAAACUUGCCAGUAACAAAGAUGACAUCUUCAUCCCCAAUAUUGCAUCAUUUCUUCAGGAGAUCAUCCCAUCACUAAGCGGCAAGUUCACCACAGUCUACUUCUUUCAUCUUGCCAGGGUCAGUGGUUCAUUUUUGACAGUAACAAAUUCUGAACAUGAAUUUGCUUUUUCUGUCCCCAUGGUUUCAGGCAACACUGUUAUCUGAAUGCUUGCAGAGUGUCAGAUCCAACAACAGCAAUUUCACUUAUAAUUAUGUCAGGCAGAGGGACAAACCUUAAAACCAAGCAGGUCCAUCAGUGGGUCCAUAAUGACAGGAUCUGCUGGUCAUAUCACAAGCCACACCACUCUAUUGCAUCAACCUGAUAGAGUGCUGAAACAGCCUGUUGAAACACAACGGAGGUGUAGGCCCAGACAUGCUUCCCUGUGAGAAUGAGACAGCACUCUCCAGGACAUAGCAUCUAUCCUGAAUCAAUGAGCAUUCGCGGGCUCUGGGUUCCCGAUAAACAGAAUACAUAGAUGAGAAACCAAAGUCUAGAAGCAAGAGUGGCCUCUGUUACCAACAUUCCCAGUGACCCACUGGAGAAUUUGUGCUUCUUGUUCCUGCAACUCUGGGGUCUGUGGGUUUAAAGAUCUUGGUUCCCAAAGGAAGAACAUUUCUGCCAUGAACACAUCAUCAUUUCCCUUGAAUCUAAGCUGUGGUAGCUUCCUGGACACAUUAAAUUUCUCAUGGCAAAGGACAAAAGGACAAGAAAAGCAGUCACCAUCCUAACAGAGGUAAUGGAUUCUGGCCCUCCUUUAUGCCCCACCUCAGGAGGAGGAGCUGCUGCUACAGGGAGGAAUAUGCUGGCAAUCUACCUUUGGAAAGUCCUUGACCAAUUGUUUCGGUAAAUGGACAAGUGUAGCGGCCCCAGCCUGAGGCAGGUAUAGUGCCCAGGGUUUCAUGCCAGUAGAUGACCCAUCCAGAAGAGCAGAGGUGAUGUCUGAGGACUAUCGAUUUACAGCAAUGGAUUGGUCAAGGAAGGAUAAAGAAACUUGGAAAGAACUAUCAUGAUACCUGCCCUGAGAAGCCAAAAUUUGGUUUAACUUUGUGUUGUUUACUGUUUGGUUCUAUAAAAGCUAAGUUUAUAAAAUAUUGUAUGACAGGUGAAUUUAAAUGUUACUAACCAUCUUGGAUGUCCUGCUCUUCUGCUGUACAGCAAUAAAGUCUCUCUAAAUGCAA
RNAcentral lists this long non-coding RNA (1733 nucleotides) under Homo sapiens (human). RNAcentral describes it as "novel transcript". The record is from RNAcentral. Lineage: Eukaryota; Metazoa; Chordata; Mammalia; Primates; Hominidae.